GUGGCUCCCUCCGGGACAGGACAGGCAUGUCUGCGAUCUCUGAGGAUUUACUUAGUAAUGGGAGGACUGAAGAGGGGAGCGUGAUUCUUGGAAACAUGAGGAAACGGAGGCACACAGGAAUACCGAGGGAGAAAUAUUUCUGGUGACCCCCUGGGAGAUGCUGUCCUGGGCUGUGUGGAGCAGUGAUCUGACGGUGACCGGUACAACCCUUCAGCGACCAGUACAAUGCCUGGCACAUGUGUGCUCUCCUCCUCCAUUUUUUGGAACAGCCUGCACACUAUUGUUUGGUCAGGACCGGAUGAGAAGCGGUAGAGAGAACACAGUCAAAUUUUCCAUGAUCAUUCUAGGCCUCCUGAAUGUAACAAUCAGAGAGAAAUGGAGUGAGCCCACCUCUGACCCUACCUCAGCUUCACAUAAAAGAGAUGCAGGUCAGGCAUGCACAGAGAAGUUCUCCACAUGUGCUCCUUACUCCACCCAACACGUGCACUACGAUUGCUACAAUUCCCCACAGAGUCCAUGUGUUGUGCAGAUGUCAACCCACAUGAAAAGAGAGCGAGAACCCAGAAGCCCCUUCGAGAGUUAAAGGAGCCAAGUGGGAUCCCAUUCUUGUUCACUGACAUUAAAGUUCGGCACCGACAUCACCGUACAGCAUUAAAAGCAGAGUGUUAUAAAAGGGGAUCCAGGUAGCUCAUUUCUGUUCAUCAUCAACCAGUCGUUUGGGUGUCCUGUUGACAUUCAUUUUGGAAUGUAUAAACGGGGCAUCGUAUUUUUGCUGUGUGCUUCCAGGUUGAGCUGAUGGAGUCAAUUAUUUUAACCAGGUUUUCUGAACUUCCUCAGUAUCACUCAAUAAAUCAAUCAUAGGCAUCGAGUGUUUUGCCAGGUGCAGAGAUGGGUAUUAAACAC
Molecule: long non-coding RNA, 903 nt
Organism: Ornithorhynchus anatinus (platypus)
Lineage: Eukaryota; Metazoa; Chordata; Mammalia; Monotremata; Ornithorhynchidae
Exons: 4
Source: RefSeq, a predicted model, not a curated record